Molecule: transfer RNA, 77 nt
Filed under: Clostridiales bacterium
Lineage: Bacteria; Bacillati; Bacillota; Clostridia; Eubacteriales
Description: tRNA-Pro
Rfam family: tRNA
About the family: Transfer RNA (tRNA) molecules are approximately 80 nucleotides in length. Their secondary structure includes four short double-helical elements and three loops (D, anti-codon, and T loops).
Source: RNAcentral
CGGGGUGUAGCGCAGUUUGGUAGCGCACAUGGUUUGGGACCAUGGGGUCGGGAGUUCGAAUCUCUUCACCCCGACCA